Molecule: ribosomal RNA, 495 nt
Filed under: uncultured bacterium
Lineage: Bacteria
Description: partial 16S ribosomal RNA
Rfam family: Bacterial small subunit ribosomal RNA
Source: RNAcentral
GACGAACGCUGGCGGCGUGCCUAAUACAUGCAAGUAGAACGCUGAAGGAGGAGCUUGCUCUUCUGGAUGAGUUGCGAACGGGUGAGUAACGCGUAGGUAACCUGCCUGGUAGCGGGGGAUAACUAUUGGAAACGAUAGCUAAUACCGCAUAACAGUAGAUGUUGCAUGACAUUUGCUUAAAAGGUGCAAUUGCACCACUACCAGAUGGACCUGCGUUGUAUUAGCUAGUUGGUGGGGUAACGGCUCACCAAGGCGACGAUACAUAGCCGACCUGAGAGGGUGAUCGGCCACACUGGGACUGAGACACGGCCCAGACUCCUACGGGAGGCAGCAGUAGGGAAGCUUCGGCAAUGGACGGAAGUCUGACCGAGCAACGCCGCGUGAGUGAAGAAGGUUUUCGGAUCGUAAAGCUCUGUUGUAAGAGAAGAACGAGUGUGAGAGUGGAAAGUUCACACUGUGACGGUAUCUUACCAGAAAGGGACGGCUAACUACGUG